GACGAACGCUGGCGGCGUGCUUAACACAUGCAAGUCGAACGGUGAUCCACUUCGGUGGUGAUCAGUGGCGAACGGGUGAGUAACACGUGGGCAACCUGCCCCUAGCUCUGGGAUAACCCCGGGAAACCGGGGCUAAUACCGGAUACGACUUCGAGCGGCAUCACUCGAGGUGGAAAGGAUUCUGGCUAGGGAUGGGCCCGCGGCCUAUCAGCUUGUUGGUGGGGUAACGGCCCACCAAGGCGACGACGGGUAGCCGGCCUGAGAGGGCGACCGGCCA
RNAcentral lists this ribosomal RNA (277 nucleotides) under uncultured bacterium. RNAcentral's name for it is "partial 16S ribosomal RNA". It matches the Rfam family "Bacterial small subunit ribosomal RNA", at positions 28 to 310 of the family's 1533-position model. The record is from RNAcentral.